UUCAAGUAAUCCAGGAUAGGUU
This 22-nucleotide non-coding RNA is filed under the name Petromyzon marinus (sea lamprey). Its record names the gene pma-miR-26b-5p. RNAcentral also lists the same sequence under 15 other names. Lineage: Eukaryota; Metazoa; Chordata; Hyperoartia; Petromyzontiformes; Petromyzontidae. The record is from miRBase by way of RNAcentral.